UGGACUCAUCGUCUAAAGGAUUAAGACAGAGACCUUCUAAGUCUCUAAUGUAGGUUCAAUUCCUACUGAGUCUAU
Molecule: transfer RNA, 75 nt
Filed under: Apophlaea sinclairii
Lineage: Eukaryota; Rhodophyta; Florideophyceae; Hildenbrandiales; Hildenbrandiaceae
Description: tRNA-Arg
Rfam family: tRNA
About the family: Transfer RNA (tRNA) molecules are approximately 80 nucleotides in length. Their secondary structure includes four short double-helical elements and three loops (D, anti-codon, and T loops). Further hydrogen bonds mediate the characteristic L-shaped molecular structure. tRNAs have two regions of fundamental functional importance: the anti-codon, which is responsible for specific mRNA codon recognition, and the 3' end, to which the tRNAs corresponding amino acid is attached (by aminoacyl-tRNA synthetases). tRNAs cope with the degeneracy of the genetic code in two manners: having more than one tRNA (with a specific anti-codon) for a particular amino acid; and 'wobble' base-pairing, i.e. permitting non-standard base-pairing at the 3rd anti-codon position.
Source: RNAcentral